Small nuclear RNA from Manis javanica (Malayan pangolin), 103 nucleotides. The record is from RefSeq and is a predicted model, not a curated record. Lineage: Eukaryota; Metazoa; Chordata; Mammalia; Pholidota; Manidae.
GUGCUCGCUUCAGCAACACAUAACUAAAAUUGGAACGAUACAGAGAUUAGCAUGGCCACUGUGCAAGGAUGACACGCAAAUUUGUGAAGCGUUCCAUACCAAA